Molecule: non-coding RNA, 124 nt
Organism: Cervus hanglu yarkandensis (Yarkand deer)
Lineage: Eukaryota; Metazoa; Chordata; Mammalia; Artiodactyla; Cervidae
Source: Ensembl
CCGCUCACCAGCACUUGGUCUCUCCACGUGGUGCUGACCUGCCCUCUGUGAGCCAGAGAAACAGGACUGGUUUGGGGGUGUCCCAUCCGAGCAGCCGUGGGGGACCACGGUUUCCAGUGCAACA